UCAUUUGCACAAAUACGCCACCUCUAACUCCUUCCACUCCCAAAUCCUCUCUAGCACUCUCCGAAACCCUAAUCCUAUUCUACCUCUUUUCGUCUCAUUCUCACAGGAAUCCAUGGCAAUCCUUGCCAUGGAUGGCCUAUACCUAUUCUCCCUCACCAUCAGCUUAAGCCAUGCGAAGUUUGGAGGCCUGAAUCCCAUGGUCAACUUUAGAUAUGUCUCAUGUCUGCAAGAUCCAUGGCCUCUCCGACCAUUUUUCGGCAUGUUCAAGGCAGUAUGAGUC
RNAcentral lists this long non-coding RNA (280 nucleotides) under Nicotiana benthamiana. RNAcentral's name for it is "long non-coding RNA (NBEN_LNC021177)". The record is from RNAcentral. Lineage: Eukaryota; Viridiplantae; Streptophyta; Magnoliopsida; Solanales; Solanaceae.